GCCCGCUACUGCUGCGCCCGCGCGGCGGCUUUCCUCAGCCCACGGCGGGCGCUGCGCCGGCCCCGGCGCCGAGGGGCGGCGUCCCGCCAUGGCGGCGGGCAGCGGGGCGGCCACCCCGCAGUGCGGCGCGACACGGCCCGGCCUCGGGACCCGGGCUGGCCGGGGGCGGGCGGAGCGCAGCAGGUGCUGGCAGUGUGGAGGAAGAAGCUGGCUUUGGCGGUGGAGAUGAGAGAGCUGCGAAGUGCAGGAAGCAGCUGAUGAGGAGCCGGGAAGGAAGCUCAGCUAUCACUAACUGGAAGGUGGGCUUCAGUUGUGAAACACUUGGAUACUGUUGUGAAGAGUCACAUGGUAAGGAGAGACUGGGAAGUAAUGAUUCCUGUAUUCUGUGAAGAGUGAGGUGUUUCAGCAAAGAAAAAAAGCAGAGAAUUAGAAAAAAAGCCUGAAGAGAACAAAAGUUGAGCAUCAUUACAAACACAAGCUGAAGUCAAGCAAAAAGUGAAAGAGCAUCAAAAUGUAUAACCACACUACUUUGUGGAGUGUGACAACAGUGACACAAGAAGAUUUAAUUUUGUUUAUAUACCAGGUUUCUAUUAUCUGAUUCUGUUUCUGUUGUUCUUUCAACGUAGGUUGUUAAAAAUAAUAAUAAAAAAACCCCAACCAAACAAAAUCCCCAUUUUCCUUGAUGCUCCUUUCUGUACGAAGUAUUUUGUCAGGCUAAACUUUCUCCAGUUGUCUGAUACCAUGAAAUGAUUGGACCACUGCUGUGAUAUACAUUCUCUCUCUUUUCCAGUUACCUAAAUACUUUGUUUCUUUUUGUGGAAGUACUUUUUUUAAACAAAAAGUCAGUCAUGAAAAAAGUUAACAAGCUUGUUGACUUGCGUCUACAUGCAAAUGAUGUCUCUCCCCAAAGCUUGCAAUCAGUUUUUCCCCUCCAUCUACUACUUGGUUUUCUUGUAGUGUUGGGCUUCAAGAUUUGACACCAAUGAUGAAAGAAGGGGUUUCAGGAAUGUCAUUCUUCAGGUUGUGAGAUUCUGACUCAGCCUGGUAUGAGUUUUCAGUGGAUUAAGUGGAUAAUGGUUCCUGUCAUAUGACUGUAGUCAUAAAACUAAUCUUGAGCCAUAUCUUGUGACUUAAGAUAAGAAGUAUUUUUUAACUUUUUUUUUUUUUACUUUUAACAUAGUAACUGUUUAACUGUGAGCAAUGCAUAUUUUAAUUCCAGACCCUAAGUGGUAAUAUUUGGCAAAAAUGGAGCUAAAGUGUUUUUUGCCAUACAGGAGAGUACUGAGAGGGUUGUUUGUCUUAAGUCUGGACAUAGUUGUAUGACACUGUUUUUUGGACGUUUAUGCUAACAAAGAAAACAGCGUAUUUUGAACUGGCAUGGAGAGCAAUCCUAGAGCUAUGGAAAACCACAGUGCUUUGCACCUGGAGUAUGACGAGGGACCCAGACCUACCAGAAAGUCAAUGCUUUUGAGAUUAUUUCUGGAGUCACAGUAAUGCUUGUGAAGACACUGACAAGAAGAGUACCAUUUGGGAUGAUGUGCAGAGAAAUACGGUUGUUGAUACUUUAUUGGUUGGGUAUUAGUUGAAGCUGUUUUGA
Long non-coding RNA from Falco peregrinus (peregrine falcon), 1597 nucleotides. RefSeq lists it as uncharacterized. The record is from RefSeq and is a predicted model, not a curated record. NCBI's taxonomy places the organism in Eukaryota, Metazoa, Chordata, Aves, Falconiformes, Falconidae. The transcript is spliced from 3 exons.